Molecule: ribosomal RNA, 463 nt
Filed under: uncultured bacterium
Lineage: Bacteria
Description: partial 16S ribosomal RNA
Rfam family: Bacterial small subunit ribosomal RNA
Source: RNAcentral
GACGAACGCUGGCGGCGUGCUUAACACAUGCAAGUCGAACGGAAAGGCCUUUUCGGAGGUACUCGAGUGGCGAACGGGAGUGUAACACGUGGGUGAUCUGCCCUGCACUCUGGGAUAAGCCUGGGAAACUGGGUCCAAUACCGGAUAGGACCGCACAUCAGUGUGUGUGGUGGAAAGGUUUUUCGGUGUAGGAUGAGCUCGCGGGCUAUCAGCUUGUUGGUGGGGUAAUGGCCUACCAAGGCGGCGGCGGGUAGCCGGACAGAGAGAUUGGUCGGCCACAUUGAGACUGAGAUACGGCCGAGACGCGUACGGGUGGCAGCAGUGGGGAAUAUUGCACAAUGGGCGCAGGGCGGGUGAAGCGGGGCCGCGUGGGGGAUGACGGCCUUCGGGUGGAAGACAACUUUCGCCAGGAACGAAGCGUUUUGUGACGGUACCUGAAGAAGAAGCACCGGCUAACUACGUG